This 654-nucleotide long non-coding RNA is filed under the name Olea europaea subsp. europaea. The record is from RNAcentral. Lineage: Eukaryota; Viridiplantae; Streptophyta; Magnoliopsida; Lamiales; Oleaceae.
GUCGAACUUAUUCACCUUCUCUUGAAUGCAUGAAAUAAGUCAUCACGCUUACACAAUUACGUGCACAUAAUUAUGGAAGUAAUUAAUUGUAUAUAAAUCAUUCAACAAUUGCAUAACGUGUUUUGAUGUCAAAAUUGCAAAACUAAAAAUUAAAAAGUUACAUCACAAGGUUUAUCGAUCUACUAGUACAUUUAAACCUAGCCUAACAUAACGUCGAAAUUAAACAAAUAAGGGGGGAACGACAUCACCGAUAAUUUGAUGGAACGUGAUUAAUUUUCCAAUAUUUCGCAAAAUGAUAAAUUGAUUUUAAACGCGUGAAAAUUUGGAAUUCCUUUCUCCCGUGUUCGCCGUCCGUCUCGUGCCUCUGUCGUCACCUUCAAUUGCGGUGCGUAAUUCUGUCUCAUUUUCUUCAAUUUUCAGCCACCUGUUUCUGUAUUUUCUGUGCGUGUAAAUGUCUUGCUGCCCAUUUUUAUUUCCCAGAAACGCCGCCCAAUGUCUCUCUCCCCAGCUGUGGCUUCUAUGUGUGUGUAAUUUUUCCAACUUCCGUCAUCCCACAGCUGUGGCUUCUAUGUGUGUGUAAUUUUUCCAACUUCCGUCAUCCCACCGAUUUUAUUUUAAUUUUGUCCUCUCUCCAAAGCUGCCGUUUUUUCUGUC